Molecule: long non-coding RNA, 649 nt
Filed under: Hordeum vulgare
Lineage: Eukaryota; Viridiplantae; Streptophyta; Magnoliopsida; Poales; Poaceae
Description: long non-coding RNA (HVUL_LNC016122)
Source: RNAcentral
UUUAUCAGGGGUCUUUCUAUGAGUUGUUCCAAGAGUUGCCACUGCUCAGACCUGUGUAGCAACAAGCCAUUCCGCAAGGAUAAGAAAAUUAAAAUUGUCAAGGUAGUUCUGUCUUUCAAAUGAUGUGCUUGUAUACACUUGCCAAUUUAUUCACAAACCUGUGUAGCAACAAGCCAAUCCGCAAGGAUGUGUUUACACCACUCUUCUAAUUUUUCAAGGUCCACUCUUUUCCCCUUCGAGAGUUUGUGUGUGCCAUGAGUUGUACUGCUGGGGAACAGCUAAAUGAAGGGGCAUAUUAUUUAUACAUGGGCCACUUACAUAAGCACUUCAGCUAAUUGCUACGCAAUGCAAAUGAAUAUACUAGUUCUCUUUUCCUUGGUGGCUGCCAAAGUACCCACUGCAGCACUGCCUUCACAAAUCCCCUUUCUUGUACUAUUGGAUGCAAAAUGACAUGUGGCGAUGAUAGGGGUGCGUUUUUGAGAAUCGGUUGUGGAGUUAUGCUUAAUGGAAGAUGUUUAUUCUACUUCUUUGACUACAAUCACAACAGCCUUUUCCCUUUACAGUCAGAAGGCUGUGGAUGGGGUGCUGUUGCAUUGGAGCCAUUGGAGAAAGGUGAUUUCAUAAUUGAGUAUGUGGGUGAAGGUACAAG